RNAcentral lists this ribosomal RNA (437 nucleotides) under uncultured Clostridium sp. RNAcentral describes it as "partial 16S ribosomal RNA". It matches the Rfam family "Bacterial small subunit ribosomal RNA", at positions 341 to 792 of the family's 1533-position model. The record is from RNAcentral. Lineage: Bacteria; Bacillati; Bacillota; Clostridia; Eubacteriales; Clostridiaceae.
ACGGAAGGCAGCAGUAAGGGAUAUUGCACAAUGGGGGAAACCCUGGUGCAGCAACGCCGCGUGAGGGAAGAAGGUUUUCGGAUUGUAAACCUCUGUUUUCAGUGAAGAAACAAAUGACGGUAGCUGAAGAGGAAGCCACGGCUAACUACGUGCCAGCAGCCGCGGUAAUACGUAGGUGGCAAGCGUUGUCCGGAUUUACUGGGUGUAAAGGGUGCGCAGGCGGGACUGCAAGUUGGAUGUGAAAUACCGGAGCUCAACUCCGGAGCUGCAUCCAAAACUGUGGUUCUUGAGUGAAGUAGAGGUAGGCGGAAUUCCGAGUGUAGCGGUAAAAUGCGUAGAUAUUCGGAGGAACACCAGUGGCGAAGGCGGCCUACUGGGCUUUAACUGACGCUGAGGCACGAAAGCAUGGGGAGCAAACAGGAUUAGAUACCCUGGUA